GCCGCCGUAGCUCAGUGGUAGAGCGUCGGACGCAUUAUUCUAAGGUCGCAGGUUCGGUCCCUGCCGGCGGCG
Molecule: transfer RNA, 72 nt
Filed under: Rhipicephalus sanguineus (brown dog tick)
Lineage: Eukaryota; Metazoa; Arthropoda; Arachnida; Ixodida; Ixodidae
Description: transfer RNA methionine (anticodon CAU)
Rfam family: tRNA
About the family: Transfer RNA (tRNA) molecules are approximately 80 nucleotides in length. Their secondary structure includes four short double-helical elements and three loops (D, anti-codon, and T loops).
Source: Rfam by way of RNAcentral